Molecule: long non-coding RNA, 1628 nt
Organism: Olea europaea var. sylvestris
Lineage: Eukaryota; Viridiplantae; Streptophyta; Magnoliopsida; Lamiales; Oleaceae
Exons: 2
Source: RefSeq, a predicted model, not a curated record
UGGCAUCUCUUAUGACUUCCUUUGUAAUCGUUCUUCCAUAUCGUUCCCUUUCCUUCUGCAAUAAAGCCACAACUACAACUCACUCUCUUUUCCAAAAUCAAAGAAAUGGCCAUCGUCGCCACUAUAUCUGUACUACGAUCAUCCUCCGUUCGUAACGUCACCACAAGCUCGGCUUCCAAGCCAAGCCUGAUCGAUUUUCCUUCGAUUUUUUGAAAUCAAAGCAAAUAUGAAUCUAUUUUUCGAAAUCCGGUCCUCCGCCCUCCCGCUUCUCCACUCAUAUUCCACGACGAACAAUGGCAACACCGCAGCCACUAAUCCAGUGAUAGAAUGUCAAAAUCUGAGCUUCUCAGUCACCCGAUGGUAUGGAAAAGUUGUUCCCAUCCUCAACGAUUGCUCGCUCAGCAUCCCCUCUGGAUAGUUCUGGAUGCUUCUUGUUCCCAAUGGCUGUGGAAAAUUCACCCGCCUCAAAAGUGUAUAUGUGCAUACUAUAUUCUUCUAGUUUAAAUUCUAUCUUUUAAUUCCAAAAUUUUAACAUUAUUUCCAAUUUAAACAUAUACAUAAAACUUUUGUGUGUUGGAGGAUUGUUUUGCGGGGUGCAUUGAUUGCUUGUACCUUUCUUCAACUGAGACAGUGCCUUCUUUCUUUUUAAAGCAUCAAUUUCCAAUUUAAAGCAUAAAUACAAAGCUCAUUUUCUCUAUUCAAGUAAGGAAUCGAAAGCAGAUGCCUUCGGGUUAUAUAACAUCACAUAAUUUGUUACUACUUACUUUUAUUUAAAUUUUCAAUUAUACAUUGCUCUGGGUGUUUCUUAUCAUAACCAAGUUGGCUUUCAUUUAUUAUAUUGAGGUGCUUUCAGUAUCAUGCCAUGUGGUCAAGGAAGAACAAAUUAAGUUUACUGGAAAUCUGGAAUGUGCUUAUGUAGUGGAUAAUCUGAUCUGUUUCGUCAAUCUCAAUGUAUAAUGACAUGGAGCAGCUGAUGUUUAACUAACAAAGAUUCGAGUUGCAACAAAAGAUAUAAUGUUUGUUCUUAUAUCAACAUACCAAUGGCAUGAGUUUUUCCCCCGAGGUAGUAAAUAUUACUAUUUGGAGCUGUACUAGUCCAACAUUACACACAAAUUAUUGGCAUUGAUAUUAGUUUUCAUCUCAUCAUGUGAUUUACAGCUAAAAGCAAUAUUGGUGUUGUAUUGCACUUUGGGCGCCAAUUAUUUUUGUAUGGAUUACACAAUAUUUACAAUAAAAUUUCUUGUCUUUUGUUUUAGAGGAAGCUUUCAUGGUACCUUUUUUGGCUAGGUCUUGACUCACCUGCUUUAAAUCUACCGUGCCUUUUUAGGUCUAUUUCAUGGAUGCCCAGAUCUGGUAUGCUAUAUUCUCAACUUUAGUUGGAGGUAUAUAUGGCGCAUUUCGUCGACUGGGAGAGGUCAAUGUAAAUUUUAGCCUGGUUCGGAGAAAGAAUAAGGGGAAUUAUUCUGAGCUUCAUCAAUGGCCACAUGUAUAAAGUUCAGGAUUAUGUUUUUAUUUGAUAUUACUACGAUAGAUUGAUCCCUUCAAAGCUUCAGGUUAGAAAUUUAUCAAGCAUUUAUGAGAUUUUUGGGGACGAUAAUUUAUUUGAUAAUUUACUAUUGAUUUUUCCC